Molecule: ribosomal RNA, 603 nt
Filed under: Microsphaeropsis arundinis
Lineage: Eukaryota; Fungi; Ascomycota; Dothideomycetes; Pleosporales; Didymellaceae
Description: eukaryotic LSU rRNA
Rfam family: 5.8S ribosomal RNA (bases 244-397)
Source: RNAcentral
AAAGUCCGUAACAAGGUUUCCGUAGGUGAACCUGCGGAAGGAUCAUUACCAAUUCAACGGUGUGGUCGCGGCCUCCGGGGGCUUCCCCCCGGGCGGUAGAGGUAACACUCUCACGCGCCACAUGUCUGAAUCCUUUUUUUACGAGCACCUUUCGUUCUCCUUCGGUGGGGCAACCUGCCGUUGGAACUUAUCAAAACCUUUUUUGCAUCUAGCAUUACCUGUUCAGAUACAAACAAUCGUUACAACUUUCAACAAUGGAUCUCUUGGCUCUGGCAUCGAUGAAGAACGCAGCGAAAUGCGAUAAGUAGUGUGAAUUGCAGAAUUCAGUGAAUCAUCGAAUCUUUGAACGCACAUUGCGCCCCUUGGUAUUCCAUGGGGCAUGCCUGUUCGAGCGUCAUCUACACCCUCAAGCUCUGCUUGGUGUUGGGCGUCUGUCCCGCCUCUGCGCGUGGACUCGCCCCAAAUUCAUUGGCAGCGGUCUUUGCCUCCUCUCGCGCAGCACAUUGCGCUUCAGAGGGGCGUGGGCCGCGUCCACGAAGCAACAUUACCGUCUUUGACCUCGGAUCAGGUAGGGAUACCCGCUGAACUUAAGCAUAUCAAUAA